CGCGCCGCUGGCCGAGCGGGGGAUCGUGGUACCUGACCAUGAGCUGCGGCUUCCCGGCGAGCCGGGGUUCAGCCCCCACGGCGAGAC
Molecule: transfer RNA, 87 nt
Filed under: Salinicola rhizosphaerae
Lineage: Bacteria; Pseudomonadati; Pseudomonadota; Gammaproteobacteria; Oceanospirillales; Halomonadaceae
Description: tRNA-Arg
Source: RNAcentral